UACAGAGGGUGCGAGCGUUAAUCGGAUUUACUGGGCGUAAAGGGCGCGUAGGUGGUUAUAUGUGUGUGAUGUGAAAGCCCCGGGCUCAACCUGGGAAGUGCAUCGCAAACUAUAUAACUAGAGUAUAUGAGAGGGUGGCGGAAUUUCCGGUGGAGCGGUGAAAUGCGUAGAGAUCGGAAAGAACACCAACGGCGAAAGCACUCUGCUGGGCCGACACUGACACUGAGAGACGAAAGCUAGGGGAGCGAAUGGG
This 253-nucleotide ribosomal RNA is filed under the name uncultured bacterium. Its description in RNAcentral is "partial 16S ribosomal RNA". It matches the Rfam family "Bacterial small subunit ribosomal RNA", at positions 524 to 776 of the family's 1533-position model. The record is from RNAcentral.